RNAcentral lists this ribosomal RNA (1401 nucleotides) under uncultured bacterium. Its description in RNAcentral is "partial 16S ribosomal RNA". It matches the Rfam family "Bacterial small subunit ribosomal RNA". The record is from RNAcentral.
AGAGUUUGAUCCUGGCUCAGGAUUAACGCUGGCGGCAUGCCUAAGACAUGCAAGUCGAACGGAGUGCCCCACUGAAACUUGAAUGAAGUCUGAGAGCUUGCUCAAAGAUGGAAUGACGGUGGAUGUGGAUUCUGCACUCAGUGGCGAACGGGUGAGUAACACGUGGGUUACCUGCCUCUAGGUUGGGGACAACAGUUGGAGACGACUGCUAAUACCGAAUGUGAUAGUAAUAUUAAAGGAGCCUUUAAAGCUUCGCUUAGAGAUGGGCCUGCGGCGUAUUAGCUAGUUGGUGGGGUAAUGGCCUACCAAGGCAACGAUGCGUAGCCGGACUGAGAGGUUGAUCGGCCACAUUGGGACUGAGACACGGCCCAGACUCCUACGGGAGACAGCAGUUAGGAAUAUUCGGCAAUGGGGGAAACCCUGACCGAGCAAUGCCGCGUGUGAGAUGAAGGUCCUCUGGAUUGUAAAUCACUUUUAUUUGGGAAGAAUUGUAAGUAGAGGAAAUGAUACUUACUUGACGGUACCUUUUGAAUAAGCCCCGGCUAACUACGUGCCAGCAGCCGCGGUAAUACGUAGGGGGCGAGCGUUAUCCGGAUUUAUUGGGCGUAAAGCGUGCGUAGGCGGUUUAUUAAGUCCAGAAUUAAAGUCCGAGGCUUAACCUCGGUUCGUUCUGGAUACUGGUAGACUAGAGUAUGGUAGAGGCAAACGGAAUUCCUAGUGUAGCGGUGAAAUGCGUAGAUAUUAGGAGGAACACCAGUGGCGAAGGCGGUUUGCUGGGCCAUCACUGACGCUGAGGUACGAAAGCGUGGGUAGCAAAUAGGAUUAGAUACCCUAGUAGUCCACGCUGUAAACGAUGAGCACUAAGUGUCGGGUUACCGGUGCUGAAGUUAACACAUUAAGUGCUCCGCCUGAGUAGUACGGUCGCAAGACUGAAACUCAAAGGAAUUGACGGGCACCCGCACAAGCGGUGGAGCAUGCCGUUUAAUUCGAAAAUACGCGAAAAACCUUACCUAGACUUGAAUCCCUGGCAAGCUCUGGAAACAGAGGGAGGUUAUCCGGGUGACAGGGGGGGCAUGGUUUCCGCAACUCCGGCCGGGAGAUUUCGGUAAAUCCCUACAAAGCCAACCCUUGGCGAAAUUGGCACAUUUAUGUGGAGACUCUUCGGAACUCCGGGAUAAACCGGAGAAAGGGGGGAAAACCCAAAAUAUAUUGCCCUUAUUCUUGGGGACAGGGGGUCAAAAUGGUGGGAAAAAAGGCGAUACCCCGAGGUGGAAAAUUCAAAAGCCAGUCUCAGUUCGGAUUGAAGUCUGCAACUCGACUUCAUGAAGUUGAAAUCGCUAGUAAUCCCGGAUCAGAAUGCCGGGGUGAAUACGUUCUCGGGUGUUGCACACACCGCCCGUC